GACGAACGCUGGCGGCGUGCUUAACACAUGCAAGUCGAACGGAAAGGCCCUGCGUUUGUGGCGUGCUCGAGAGGGGAAAGGGGGAGUAACACGAGAGUAACCUGCCCUUGACAUAGGGAUAACAUCAGGGAACUGGGGCUAAUACGGGAUAGAAGCUACUGCUGCAUGGGGGGGAAUGGUUAGUUUCGGCGGUUGGGGCUGGACUCGCUGCUCAUGAGCUUGUUGGUGUGGUAGGGGCUUACCAAGGCUUUGACGGGUAGCCGGCCUGGGAGGGUGGACACCGACCUUGGGCCUGGGAUACGGCGCAGGCUCGUACGGGAGGCAACUGUGGAGUGUGUGACAGAAUGGGCGGGCGCCUGAGGCAGCGACGCCGCGUGCGGGGUGACGUCCUUCGGGUUGUAAACCGAUUUCGCCUGUGACGAAGCCGGAGUGACGGUAAUGGGUAAAGAAGCACCGGCUAACUACGUG
Molecule: ribosomal RNA, 468 nt
Filed under: uncultured bacterium
Lineage: Bacteria
Description: partial 16S ribosomal RNA
Rfam family: Bacterial small subunit ribosomal RNA
Source: RNAcentral